Long non-coding RNA from Acinonyx jubatus (cheetah), 1416 nucleotides. RefSeq lists it as uncharacterized. NCBI's taxonomy places the organism in Eukaryota, Metazoa, Chordata, Mammalia, Carnivora, Felidae. The record is from RefSeq and is a predicted model, not a curated record. The transcript is spliced from 3 exons.
UUUAAUUAUAUUUUUAAAAAACCAAAUUAUAUGACAUAGCAGCCUCUUUGAAGCCAUUCUUCUUCAUGUUCACUCUUGAAAUGAAAAAAAAAAAAAACAGUUCUAUGUUUAGUUUAAAAAUAUCCAGUAGUCUCUGAAUACAAGUGAGUAGAAAGAGACCACAUUUAGACACCUCCAGGCCAGCAUCAUCUCACAUUCAUGCAAUACACCUGAGACAUCUGUGUAUUUAAUUUCCGUUUUUAAAAUGUACUUUCUGUCCAUGCAAUACACUAAAAUUUACUGCAGUUGUACCCAUAUCUCUGGCUCCAAGACAUCUGAAAGAGGUUCUGAUGAUGCUAAAGCUUUUACUGUUGCAUUACGUGAAUUUACCUUGACAGAAAAGUAAUUCCAUGAAACAAGACAGUUGGGGAAUGGCCCAAAAUAUUUUGAAUUCUACUGUGUCACUAAUGUUCUGGUACAACCAAAUAACUUGACUUCACAAGAUUUUUCUCUGUGAGCUCCCCCUCAAGGAGAUAACACAGCCAAGUCUAUGAGCGACAAUUCAGUUACAGGAAACCUCUGAUUUAAUGUACCUUGCCCUACUCACUCCUCUAUGCCCAUGCCAGGCACAUAUUGUUUUACCACCUGAAUCCCCUGACUUUGACCAGGUCCGAGAGCCUCAGACCAAGCCACCACAUUUCUAGCAACUGCCUGGAAUUGGCAUCAGGUUAGAUUCAGAGCUGGAAAUAGUCACUGACAGAUUUCAUCUCGAACCUGGGGGGAAAGAGUGAGAAAAGAAUAGAAUGGAGUGAGAAGAAAAGAAGACAUACUCUGCAGUCCCAAUGGUAUGAGAGGUAAUGGGAUAAAAAAAAAAAAAAGCGCCACCUCGGAGACAGCCAGGAAGGGACAUUGUGGAAGGGGCAGCUUUCCAUGAGAACAAGGUGAAAAGAGCGUUCAGCAUAGCUUUGGAAAUCACUUUUGAAAAACAAUAUAGUUUUUUGUUUGCUUUCUUUUACAAUUCAAUGGAUUUUAGUAUAUUCACAGAACUAUGCAACCAGUUACCCAACAAGAAACCCUCUACUCAUCAGUAGCCCUUUCUUCUGCCAGACCCUAGCUCCAUGCAACAAGUUAAUGGAAGAUUAUGCAGUUAUUAACUUUUUUGGUGAAUAGUAUAGAAUUAUGGGGAACUGCUUGAGAAAGCAUAAAGAAAAAAUCCAGAAUACAAAAUUCUUCACAAUAUUCCAUGCAAUAACUCCAUGCAAUAAUUAUUGCAACCAUAUAGCACAUGAAUAGAUACUGUCAAAGUGAAGUGAAAUAUAAAAAAUAUAUAUAUACUUUUUGCAUGGUGGAGUUAUUAUCUCUGAAAAUAAAAUGCCUAUGCUUUUUACCUUCUCAACCCUGACCUAUAUGUAUGAUAUAGGACAUAUACCCAGAACA